Molecule: ribosomal RNA, 442 nt
Filed under: uncultured bacterium
Lineage: Bacteria
Description: partial 16S ribosomal RNA
Rfam family: Bacterial small subunit ribosomal RNA
Source: RNAcentral
CCUACGGGCGGCAGCAGUAGGGAAUCUUUCACAAUGGGCGAAAGCCUGAUGGAGCAACGCCGCGUGCAGGAUGAAGGCCUUCGGGUUGUAAACUGCUUUUAUAAGCGAGAAAUAUGAUGGUAACUUAUGAAUAAGGAUCGGCUAACUACGUGCCAGCAGCCGCGGUCAUACGUAGGACCCGAGCAUUAUCCGGAGUGACUGUGUGUAAAGAGUUGCGUAGGUGGCAUAAUAAGUAGCUAGUGAAAUCUGGUGGCUCAACCAUUCAGACUAUUAGCUAAAGUGUUAAGCUCGAGACCGUUAGGGGUAACUGGAAUUUCUAGUGUAGGAGUGAAAUCCGUAGAUAUUAGAAGGAACACCAAUAGCGUAGGCAGGUUGCUGGGACGGUUCUGACACUAAGGCACGAAAGCGUAGGGAGCAAACGGGAUUAGAUACCCCGGUAGUC